ACGGGUGAGUAAUGCCUAGGAAUCUGCCUGGUAGUGGGGGACAACGUUUCGAAAGGAACGCUAAUACCGCAUACGUCCUACGGGAGAAGCAGGGGACCUUCGGGCCUUGCGCUAUCAGAUGAGCCUAGGUCGGAUUAGCUAGUUGGUGAGGUAAUGGCUCACCAAGGCGACGAUCCGUAACUGGUCUGAGAGGAUGAUCAGUCACACUGGAACUGAGACACGGUCCAGACUCCUACGGGAGGCAGCAGUGGGGAAUAUUGGACAAUGGGCGAAAGCCUGAUCCAGCCAUGCCGCGUGUGUGAAGAAGGUCUUCGGAUUGUAAAGCACUUUAAGUUGGGAGGAAGGGCAGUCAGCGAAUACCUUGCUGCUUUGACGUUACCGACAGAAUUAGCACCGGCUAACUCUGUGCCAGCAGCCGCGGUAAUACAGAGGGUGCAAGCGUUAAUCGGAAUUACUGGGCGUAAAGCGCGCGUAGGUGGUUUGUUAAGUUGGAUGUGAAAUCCCCGGGCUCAACCUGGGAACUGCAUCCAAAACUGGCAAGCUAGAGUAGGGCAGAGGGUGGUGGAAUUUCCUGUGUAGCGGUGAAAUGC
This 590-nucleotide ribosomal RNA is filed under the name uncultured bacterium. Its description in RNAcentral is "bacterial SSU rRNA". It matches the Rfam family "Bacterial small subunit ribosomal RNA", at positions 102 to 689 of the family's 1533-position model. The record is from RNAcentral.